This 446-nucleotide ribosomal RNA is filed under the name uncultured bacterium. RNAcentral's name for it is "partial 16S ribosomal RNA". It matches the Rfam family "Bacterial small subunit ribosomal RNA", at positions 338 to 795 of the family's 1533-position model. The record is from RNAcentral.
CCUACGGGAGGCUGCAGUAGGGAAUUUUCGGCAAUGGGGGGAACCCUGACCGAGCAAUGCCGCGUGAACGAAGACGUUAUUCGUAAUGUAAAGUUCUUUUAACAGGGAAGAAAGAGAAAUUUGACGGUACCUGAAGAAUCAGCUCCGGCUAACUACGUGCCAGCAGCCGCGGUAAUACGUAGUGAGCGAGCGUUAUCCGGAAUAAUUGGGCGUAAAGGGUGCGUAGAUGGCAGAGUAAGUCUUUUGUAAAAAUACUGGGAUAAACCCAGUAGGGCAAAAGAUACUGGUAAGCUAGAGUAUGAUAGAGGCUAGUGGAACUACGUGUGUAGCGGUAAAAUGCGUAAAUAUAUGUAAGAACACCAGUGGCGAAGGCGGCUUGCUGGGUCGAUACUGACAUUGAGGCACGAAAGCGUGGGGAGCAAACAGGAUUAGAUACCCGUGUAGUC